RNAcentral lists this ribosomal RNA (483 nucleotides) under uncultured bacterium. Its description in RNAcentral is "partial 16S ribosomal RNA". It matches the Rfam family "Bacterial small subunit ribosomal RNA", at positions 28 to 507 of the family's 1533-position model. The record is from RNAcentral.
GACGAACGCUGGCGGCGUGCUUAACACAUGCAAGUCGAACGCUGAAGCUCAGCUUUUGUUGGGUGGAUGAGUGGCGAACGGGUGAGUAACACGUGAGUAACCUGCCCCCUUCUUUGGGAUAACGCCCGGAAACGGGUGCUAAUACUGAAUAUUCACUGGUCUUCGCAUGGGGGUUGGUGGAAAGGGUUUUUCUGGUGGGGGAUGGGCUCGCGGCCUAUCAGCUUGUUGGUGGGGUGAUGGCCUACCAAGGCUUUGACGGGUAGCCGGCGUGAGAGGGUGACCGGUAACAUUGGGACUGAGAUACGGCCCAGACUACUACGGGAGGCAGCAUUGGGGAAUAUUGCACAAUGGGCGCAAGCCUGAUGCAGCGACGCCGCGUGAGGGAUGGAGGCCUUCGGGUUGUGAACCUCUUUCGCUCAUGGUCAAGCCGCAACAAUGGUUGUGGUGAGGGUAGUGGGUAAAGAAGCGCCGGCUAACUACGUG